This 433-nucleotide ribosomal RNA is filed under the name uncultured bacterium. RNAcentral describes it as "partial 16S ribosomal RNA". It matches the Rfam family "Bacterial small subunit ribosomal RNA", at positions 29 to 507 of the family's 1533-position model. The record is from RNAcentral.
AACGAACGCUGGCGGCAUGCCUAACACAUGCAAGUCGAACGAGACCUUCGGGUCUAGUGGCGCACGGGUGCGUAACGCGUAGGAACCUGCCCUUAGGUUCGGAAUAACUCCCCGAAAGGGGUGCUAAUACCGGAUAAUGUCUUCGGACCAAAGAUUUAUCGCCUUUGGAUGGGCCCGCGUUGGAUUAGCUAGUUGGUAGGGUAAAAGCCUACCAAGGCGACGAUCCAUAGCUGGUCUGAGAGGAUGAUCAGCCACACUGGGACUGAGACACGGCCCAGGCUCCUACGGGAGGCAGCAGUGGGGAAUAUUGGACAAUGGGCGAAAGCCUGAUCCAGCAAUGCCGCGUGAGUGAUGAAGGCCUUAGGGUUGUAAAGCUCUUUUACCCGGGAUGAUAAUGACAGUACCGGGAGAAUAAGCUCCGGCUAACUCCGUG